GUGUGAGCUGUGAUAGUGAAGGUGAAGGUGUGAGCUGUGAUGGUGAAGGUGUGAGCUGUGAAGGUGAAGGUGUGAGCUGUGAUGGUGAAGGUGUGAGCUGUGAUGGUGAAGGUGUGAGCUGUGAUGGUGAAGGUGUGAGCUGUGAUGGUGAAGAUGUGAGCUGUGAAGGUGAAGGCGUGAGCUGUGAUGGUGAAGGCGUGAGCUGUGAUGGUGAAGGUGUGAGCUGUGAUGGUGAAGGUGUGAGCUGUGAUGGUGAAGGUGUGAGCUGUGAUGGUGAAGGUGUGAGCUGUGAUGGUGAAGGUGUGAGCUGUGAAGGUGAAGGUGUGAGCUGUGAUGGUGCAGGUGUGAGCUGUGAAGGUGCAGGUGUGAGCUGUGAUCGUGUAGGUGUGAGCUGUGAUGGUGAAGGUGUGAGCUGCCAUUGAAGCCUCAGCUUUUAUGGCUGUUAAAGGCUCUUUAAGGAGAACUUUUUUUUUUUUUUUUUUUUUUUUU
This 489-nucleotide long non-coding RNA is filed under the name Cricetulus griseus (Chinese hamster). RNAcentral's name for it is "lncRNA (ENSCGRG00015034281.1)". The record is from RNAcentral. Lineage: Eukaryota; Metazoa; Chordata; Mammalia; Rodentia; Cricetidae.